This 510-nucleotide ribosomal RNA is filed under the name Hordeum secalinum. Lineage: Eukaryota; Viridiplantae; Streptophyta; Magnoliopsida; Poales; Poaceae. The record is from RNAcentral.
UUUUUCAUUAUUAUUUUUGCUGCACACGAUAAACAUGACGCACGUGCGCGGUAAAUAUUGAACGCACGUGCGGGCUAAAUAUUAAAUGUGGUUUCUUAUUUCUGACGUUUGCGGUGAGUUGCAGCUUGCGGAUCGAUAUUGACGCGUGUAGGGGCGGCGUUAUGGUGGGAUAGGCACUGCGUUCUAAAAGUGUAUGACGUCGUGUGAAAACUCGUGGCAACGUGGCGGCGGAGAAGGAGGGGUGAAAACUGUGGUAAAUGUAGGAACGGUUGUUAAGGUGGAGAGAAAGUAGAAUGGUGAAGUAUCGAGUGGCGGCAAGGAAUGUACAGUAGUGUUUGUAGUGCAGCUGGAAGGGCCGAGCAUAAGGAACGAAGGGAUAAGAAACAUGUCGGAUGCAAUCAUACUAGCACUAAAGCACCGGAUCCCAUCAAAACUCUGAAAUUAAGUGUGCUUGGGCGAGAGUAGUACUAGGAUAGGUGACCUCCUAAGAAGUCCACAUGUUGAAUUCUC